This 718-nucleotide ribosomal RNA is filed under the name uncultured bacterium. RNAcentral describes it as "bacterial SSU rRNA". It matches the Rfam family "Bacterial small subunit ribosomal RNA", at positions 56 to 780 of the family's 1533-position model. The record is from RNAcentral.
UGCAGUCGAGCGGGGACGGAUGGUAGCUUGCUACCGUUUGUUUCUAGCGGCGGACGGGUGAGUAACGCGUGAGCAACCUGCCUUUAUCAGGGGGAUAACGCAUCGAAAGAUGUGCUAAUACCGCGUAAGACCACAGCUUCACAUGGAGCAGGGGUCAAAGGAGCAAUCCGGAUAAAGAUGGGCUCGCGUCCGAUUAGCUAGUUGGUGAGAUAACAGCCCACCAAGGCGACGAUCGGUAGCCGACCUGAGAGGGUGAUCGGCCACAUUGGAACUGAGAGACGGUCCAGACUCCUACGGGAGGCAGCAGUGGGGAAUAUUGGGCAAUGGGCGAAAGCCUGACCCAGCAACGCCGCGUGAGGGAAGAAGGGUUUCGGCUCGUAAACCUCUGUCCUAUGGGACGAAGGAAGUGACGGUACCAUAGGAGGAAGCCCCGGCUAACUACGUGCCAGCAGCCGCGGUAAUACGUAGGGGGCGAGCGUUGUCCGGAAUGAUUGGGCGUAAAGGGCGCGUAGGCGGCCUGCUAAGUCUGGAGUGAAAGUCCUGCUUUCAAGGUGGGAAUUGCUUUGGAUGCUGGUGGGCUGGAGUGCAGGAGAGGAAAGCGGAAUUACCGGUGUAGCGGUGAAAUGCGUAGAGAUCGGUAGGAACACCAGUGGCGAAGGCGGCUUUCUGGACUGAAACUGACGCUGAGGCGCGAAAGCGUGGGGAGCAAACAGGAUUA